Molecule: ribosomal RNA, 468 nt
Filed under: uncultured bacterium
Lineage: Bacteria
Description: partial 16S ribosomal RNA
Rfam family: Bacterial small subunit ribosomal RNA
Source: RNAcentral
GACGAACGCUGGCGGCGUGCUUAACACAUGCAAGUCGAACGGAAAGGCCCUGCUUUUGUGGGGUGCUCGAGUGGCGAACGGGUGAGUAACACGUGAGUAACCUGCCCUUGACUUUGGGAUAACUUCAGGAAACUGGGGCUAAUACCGGAUAGGAGCUCCUGCUGCAUGGUGGGGGUUGGAAAGUUUCGGCGGUUGGGGAUGGACUCGCGGCUUAUCAGCUUGUUGGUGGGGUAGUGGCUUACCAAGGCUUUGACGGGUAGCCGGCCUGAGAGGGUGACCGGCCACAUUGGGACUGAGAUACGGCCCAGACUCCUACGGGAGGCAGCAGUGGGGAAUAUUGCACAAUGGGCGGAAGCCUGAUGCAGCAACGCCGCGUGCGGGAUGACGGCCUUCGGGUUGUAAACCGCUUUCGCCUGCGACGAAGCGUGGGUGACGGUAAUGGGUAAAGAAGCACCGGCUAACUACGUG